AGUCCUGCGCUCCUGGUUUCCUGUAAAGGGUGUUGUCUUCAGGGAAACUCCUGCAGUCGCCCCUUAACUGUGGGAUCAUUUCCAGCUCCUUUUAUGUACUCUUGUCCUGGCAUCUGUUGUUUACUCAUUAACCACCAAAUGCAGCAGUUAGUCCUCUUAGAGUUUAAUCUCCUGGGAAUCAAAGAUGUAGCAACGUUGAUGCGGGAGUCAGGCUGGAAGGUCCCUUCUGGAAGAACUGUUUUGUAUUUUGAACACAAGGGAAUUCUACUUCUGGACCCUUCUGUCAAGAUGGAUCUUUGUUACUUGAGAGUUUUCUUGGUAGGACUAGUAAGAUCAUCACCCAGUGUUAAAAUUGUGCUUCAGCUUUCUGUAGCAAGCCCUGGAAGGCACCCCAACCAAGGAAAGAGAAGGCAGCGUCACCUAGGAAGUAUCUGGAGCGAAAUUUAAAAAUCCUUUUCACAUACAAUGUGAUGCUGCUGAAAUAAAGCACAGGAUGCUUUUCUGAAUCUGAUGAACCACUUUGAUUGGGUGCUGUUUUCUCCUGCCAGCUUCCAACAAUAAGGUAUCCCCAGCCCAGGACUGGAGCCAGGUGACGCCUACACCCGAAGCCCUGGAGGCUUCUUGGAGCUUCUCUGUCUUCUACAAGCCCACCCAUCUGUCAGGCCAUCCUGUGGGUGCUCCUCACUAAAGGUGCCCAGGAUCUGAGGCUUCUCGCUGCCACCACUCAUCAUCCCAGCCCUGCCACCACUAGCUGUCACCUGGACCAUCACAGUGGCUCUCAGCUGGGUGCCCCCACCCUCCCAGCAGCCAGGGCAUGCAUGGCCACGCAGUGUCACAUUUCCCCCAGGGCAAGGGAAGGCACAGAGGAAGGAGUGUAACAACACUGGGUGCAGAGUAGGCCAGUGGCUGGUCAAACCCCAGGCACCUGGGGCUUUACACACGGCGAGAGGCAGCUCCAGCCCCGAUGGCCACCUGAGGCCGCGAGAGACGGGGCCACACAGCUAAUCAGAGCACUUGGAGGAUCUAGGCGGGCACCAGUGGUGUUCCCUUCACCCCUGGACUGCCUCAGCC
Non-coding RNA from Manis javanica (Malayan pangolin), 1071 nucleotides. The record is from RefSeq and is a predicted model, not a curated record. Lineage: Eukaryota; Metazoa; Chordata; Mammalia; Pholidota; Manidae.